This 1543-nucleotide small RNA is filed under the name Pongo abelii (Sumatran orangutan). RNAcentral's name for it is "retained intron". Lineage: Eukaryota; Metazoa; Chordata; Mammalia; Primates; Hominidae. The record is from RNAcentral.
CGCCUGCGCAGUGCGGUCGCGGGGGCUGUCGUUGUCCCCCGAGCCGCCGACCGGGCCUCGAACGGGAUGGCAGAGGAGGUGAGGAGGGAGAAGCGUCCGGAGUGGGGCGGGCCCGGACUCCGACCCCCGGGGCGCUUCGAGCCCCCCAGCGGGUCACCGAGGCACCGCCGCUCCACCCAGGCCAGUAGCCGCCCCCUCGCGCACCCCGGCCCCGCCUCACACGCGCGCCCGAGCGAGCCCCGGGCUCCCCUCGGGCCCAGCGCGGCGCAGGGGUCAGUGGUUCUCUCGGGUCUCGGGACAGGUGAGCACCCUGAUGAAGGCCACAGUCCUGAUGCGGCAGCCUGGGCGGGUGCAGGAGAUCGUGGGCGCCCUCCGCAAGGGCGGCGGAGAUCGGUUACAGGUGAUUUCUGAUUUUGACAUGACCUUGAGCAGGUUUGCAUAUAAUGGAAAGCGAUGCCCUUCUUCUUACAAUAUUCUGGAUAAUAGCAAGAUCAUCAGUGAGGAGUGUCGGAAAGAGCUCACAGCACUCCUUCACCACUAUUACCCAAUUGAGAUCGACCCACACCGGACCGUCAAGGAGAAGCUACCUCAUAUGGUGGAAUGGUGGACCAAAGCGCACAAUCUCCUAUGUCAGCAGAAGAUUCAGAAGUUUCAGAUAGCCCAGGUGGUUAGAGAGUCCAAUGCAAUGCUCAGGGAGGGAUACAAGACCUUCUUCAACACACUCUACCAUAACAACAUUCCCCUUUUCAUCUUUUCUGCGGGCAUUGGUGAUAUCCUGGAAGAAAUUAUCAGACAGAUGAAAGUGUUCCACCCCAACAUCCACAUCGUGUCUAACUACAUGGAUUUUAAUGAAGAUGGUUUUCUCCAGGGAUUUAAGGGCCAGCUCAUACACACAUACAACAAGAACAGCUCUGUGUGUGAGAACUCUGGUUACUUCCAGCAACUUGAGGGCAAAACCAAUGUCAUCUUGCUGGGAGACUCCAUCGGGGACCUCACCAUGGCCGAUGGGGUUCCUGGUGUGCAGAACAUUCUCAAGAUUGGCUUCCUGAAUGACAAGGUGGAGGAGCGGCGGGAGCGCUACAUGGACUCCUAUGACAUCGUGCUGGAGAAGGACGAGACUCUGGAUGUGGUCAACGGGCUACUGCAGCACAUCCUGUGCCAGGGGGUCCAGCUGGAGAUGCAAGGCCCCUGAAGGCACAGGCUUCACCCGGCCUGCAGGCCGUGGUGAGGAGGGGGCGCCUCCCCAGAGUGCGCUCCCCCGUGAACACAGAGCAGAGGCCAGGGUGGCCAGCAGUGGCUGGGUCCUUCCAUGCUCCCUCUCCGUCCUCCUUUCCCCGAGCACCUUCAUCACCAGAGGCUUGAAGGAACCCCGCCAUGUGGCAGGGCACAAGCACUGUUCCUGGUGAACCUUGGACCACAGCAUGUCAGUGCUCUAGGGAUUGUCUGUUCCAGGGAUUUUUUUCAAAAUUUUUAAACAUGGGAAGUUGUUCUUCAAACAAAUAUAAUGUGUGAAACAGAUGAAAAUUUUUAAAAUGAAAAAAAA